RNAcentral lists this ribosomal RNA (1522 nucleotides) under metagenome. Its description in RNAcentral is "bacterial SSU rRNA". It matches the Rfam family "Bacterial small subunit ribosomal RNA". The record is from RNAcentral.
AGAGUUUGAUCAUGGCUCAGAUUGAACGCUGGCGGCAGGCCUAACACAUGCAAGUCGAACGGUAACAGGAAGCAGCUUGCUGCUUCGCUGACGAGUGGCGGACGGGUGAGUAAUGUCUGGGAAGCUGCCUGAUGGAGGGGGAUAACUACUGGAAACGGUAGCUAAUACCGCAUAAUGUCGCAAGACCAAAGAGGGGGACCUUCGGGCCUCUUGCCAUCGGAUGUGCCCAGAUGGGAUUAGCUUGUUGGUGGGGUAACGGCUCACCAAGGCGACGAUCCCUAGCUGGUCUGAGAGGAUGACCAGCCACACUGGAACUGAGACACGGUCCAGACUCCUACGGGAGGCAGCAGUGGGGAAUAUUGCACAAUGGGCGCAAGCCUGAUGCAGCCAUGCCGCGUGUAUGAAGAAGGCCUUCGGGUUGUAAAGUACUUUCAGCGGGGAGGAAGGGAGUAAAGUUAAUACCUUUGCUCAUUGACGUUACCCGCAGAAGAAGCACCGGCUAACUCCGUGCCAGCAGCCGCGGUAAUACGGAGGGUGCAAGCGUUAAUCGGAAUUACUGGGCGUAAAGCGCACGCAGGCGGUUUGUUAAGUCAGAUGUGAAAUCCCCGGGCUCAACCUGGGAACUGCAUCUGAUACUGGCAAGCUUGAGUCUCGUAGAGGGGGGUAGAAUUCCAGGUGUAGCGGUGAAAUGCGUAGAGAUCUGGAGGAAUACCGGUGGCGAAGGCGGCCCCCUGGACGAAGACUGACGCUCAGGUGCGAAAGCGUGGGGAGCAAACAGGAUUAGAUACCCUGGUAGUCCACGCCGUAAACGAUGUCGACUUGGAGGUUGUGCCCUUGAGGCGUGGCUUCCGGAGCUAACGCGUUAAGUCGACCGCCUGGGGAGUACGGCCGCAAGGUUAAAACUCAAAUGAAUUGACGGGGGCCCGCACAAGCGGUGGAGCAUGUGGUUUAAUUCGAUGCAACGCGAAGAACCUUACCUGGUCUUGACAUCCACGGAAGUUUUCAGAGAUGAGAAUGUGCCUUCGGGAACCGUGAGACAGGUGCUGCUUGGCUGUCGUCAGCUCGUGUUGUGAAAUGUUGGGUUAAGUCCCGCAACGAGCGCAACCCUUAUCCUUUGUUGCCAGCGGUCCGGCCGGGAACUCAAAGGAGACUGCCAGUGAUAAACUGGAGGAAGGUGGGGAUGACGUCAAGUCAUCAUGGCCCUUACGACCAGGGCUACACACGUGCUACAAUGGCGCAUACAAAGAGAAGCGACCUCGCGAGAGCAAGCGGACCUCAUAAAGUGCGUCGUAGUCCGGAUUGGAGUCUGCAACUCGACUCCAUGAAGUCGGAAUCGCUAGUAAUCGUGGAUCAGAAUGCCACGGUGAAUACGUUCCCGGGCCUUGUACACACCGCCCGUCACACCAUGGGAGUGGGUUGCAAAAGAAGUAGGUAGCUUAACCUUCGGGAGGGCGCUUACCACUUUGUGAUUCAUGACUGGGGUGAAGUCGAAACAAGGUAACCGUAGGGGAACCCGCGGUUG